UGAGCAAUCUGCCCUUCUCUUCGGAAUAAGCGUUGGAAACGACGUCUAAUGCCGAAUACGACCUCCUUUCGCAUGAUUGGAGGUGGAAAGCUCCGGCGGAGAAGGAUGAGCUCGCGGCCUAUCAGCUAGUUGGUGUGGGUAACGCCCACCAAGGCGACGACGGGUAGCUGGUCUGAGAGGAUGGCCAGCCACAGUUGGGACGUGAGAUACGGCCCAGACUCCGUAGGGA
RNAcentral lists this ribosomal RNA (229 nucleotides) under uncultured bacterium. Its description in RNAcentral is "partial 16S ribosomal RNA". It matches the Rfam family "Bacterial small subunit ribosomal RNA", at positions 118 to 346 of the family's 1533-position model. The record is from RNAcentral.